GGAGGAGAGGUGAACCUUGAGUGUGUAAUCCAGGCGGGUUAUGGUGACUUCCAGGUAGGUACAUCCAUCAGUGGUUCAGCGAUUCCAAGUAUCCUGAAGAUGAAACAAACUUGAGUCCAAACACCAAAAUCCAAGCACAAAAAACCAGAAAAAUCCAAAACUGCGACCACACGAAUGUCUGAGAAUAGACAAAGCAAAACCUAGAACUGAGUGGCAAGAUUCUACCGUGAGUAGUUAAUCAUCCAGCGAUGUGAAGUGGUUCCCUCUCCUCUUAAAUAGAGCUCUGCUGCGGUUGAUUAGAGGAUCUGCAGCUGCCGCUGAUCGGUAAUGCCCCGCAGCUGGUGAGUGCCCUCUCCUGGAAUGACAGUCUUACAAAGAUGUUGUGGAGAAGAGGGAGUACUCACCCCGUCACACAACAAGGAGCAGCACCUCUGGGCGUCUGUGCCAUUUAAAGCCUUUGUACUAUCGCUUUCAUCCAUUUUGCUGUGUUUUGUAGUGGAGCUAAACACUUCCUGCCCCCCAUUUGAGUGUAAUGUGAAGUGAUGUCACAGACUGAGCGGAGCUGACCAUAGAGUAAAAAGACCCAAUGAUUAGUGGUUUUCGGUCUGACUCAUCUGUACUUGAAGCCUCUGUGGGAGCCUAAAGUCUGUCUUUGUACAGGUUUAGCAGCUGAAGAGCCCUGGUACACACUCGACCCCCUGGUGAUAGUAGCCAUUUGCCUGGGAAUACCCAUGAUCCUCCUUGCUGUGCUGUUGAUGGUGCGCCAUCAGAGGUUGACUAGUAUCCUGUUUCCUCCAAUCCCUCGUCCUCCACCGCAGUACAAAUAUUUUCUAGAGAAAGGCGACCCUGUCUGUGUAAGCAAACACACACACACACACAUUGAGGUGAACACCUUAAUGUGUGUGUGUACACGCAGUUCUAAUGUGGAUUUCUUCUUGUGUUGCUAGUUCUACCCUUCUGUGCCAGAAAAACACGAGGAAGAGAUCACUGAGGUGGAGGAUGCAGAGCAAAACCCUGAAAGCAACACAGAAUAAAGACGUGCAUGCUCAUUUUUACUCCACAAGUCGGUACACACAGGUUGGACGCAUGCAUUGAGCAUUUACAAAUGUUCUACCAAAAUUCAAAGAGCUUUAGAAAUCUUUUGCAUUAAGACUUUCUGUUGUUUUUAGGAAUAAAGACGUUUUGUCUUACAUUCAUUUAGUUUUUCAUGCAUUUCAUCAAACUGCGACUUUUAUUUACUAUUUUCUGGCAGGAUUUGAACAAGAGGCGUUUGAGACUUACACCAAUUUCUUCACAGUUGUACUGAAAUCUUAAACGUUUCUACAAAAUAAGUUUAUUUUUUACAGUUUAUAAUAAAGUCUGGUUAUGAACUGUGAUCUGCUCAUUUUGGAGUCAUUUUUCUACUUUUACCUGCUGUUUGUAGAGGGUUGGGAAACACUAAAUCAGAUAUUCAUGCACAAGAAAACUUAGUUAGCCUAGUCUAGUCUAGUUAGCCAUCGUCUUCGUCACUGCCGCGGCUCCGCCCUCUCGGUCCUCCAGGCAACGCCUACUAAUGUUGCAGUUUUUAAAAUUGAUACGUGGGUGGAGUAAGACUCUGAGGGGGGCAUUACCACUACUUUAAGGUAAAAAAGACAAGAAGUUUUGACUUUUAAUAGUGGAACUUAAAGAGCAAGUCACCCCCAAAUAAACUUUUUUUUGCUGAUAAACUAAAUAAACGAGUGUCUAAUCGUGCUGCAGACACGUGUCGUCAAUAAUUUGGCACUUCAGUGCAUCUUAGUUAAAAUUUAAAUAUUCUGCCUAAAACUGUCAGUGUUGUGCCGUUGUCAGGUAAAAACUCUGCACUGUAUUCUAAUUUAAAUCUGCCACCACUAUUGGCUAAGAGGUAUGCUAUGAUGUAAACUGGUACAUUAUGAUGUCACAAUGCUGUCGUGAGCCUGUGUGUGUGUAUUUGUUAGCAGCUCCGCCCCCUCGGUCUGCCAGGCAACAGCAUUUGUUGCAUUUUUCAAACAUGAAGUGGGAGUGGAGUUAGA
Long non-coding RNA from Nothobranchius furzeri (turquoise killifish), 2030 nucleotides. NCBI's taxonomy places the organism in Eukaryota, Metazoa, Chordata, Actinopteri, Cyprinodontiformes, Nothobranchiidae. The record is from Ensembl.